Molecule: non-coding RNA, 29 nt
Filed under: Rattus norvegicus (Norway rat)
Lineage: Eukaryota; Metazoa; Chordata; Mammalia; Rodentia; Muridae
Source: RNAcentral
UCCUGUCUAUACCAAACUUCCCGGCUUGA